AAGAGGAGCUGGUAUCAGGCACAACACGCUUAGCCCAUGACACCUUGCUUAGCCACACCCCCACGGGUACUCAGCAGUAAUAAAUAUUAAGCCAUAAGUGAAAACUUGACUUAGUUAGCAUCAAGAGGGCCGGUUAAACUCGUGCCAGCCACCGCGGUUAUACGAGAGGCCCAAGUUGACAAACACCGGCGUAAAGAGUGGUUAAUAAAAAUUAAACUAAAGCCGAACACCUUCAAGGCCGUCAUACGUACCCGAAGGCAGGAAGACCCCCGACGAAAGUGGCUUUAAUCCAUUAUGAACCCACGAAAGCUAGGGUACAAACUGGGAUUAGAUACCCCACUAUGCCUAGCCCUAAACAAAAAUUACCCCUCACACCAACAUUCGCCAGGGAACAACGAGCCCCAGCUUAAAACCCAAAGGACUUGGCGGUGCUUUAGACCCCCCUAGAGGAGCCUGUUCUAGAACCGAUACUCCCCGUUCAACCUCACCCUUUCUUGUUAUUUCC
This 505-nucleotide ribosomal RNA is filed under the name Favonigobius gymnauchen (sharp-nosed sand goby). RNAcentral describes it as "partial 12S rRNA". It matches the Rfam family "Bacterial small subunit ribosomal RNA", at positions 279 to 991 of the family's 1533-position model. Lineage: Eukaryota; Metazoa; Chordata; Actinopteri; Gobiiformes; Gobiidae. The record is from RNAcentral.